RNAcentral lists this unclassified non-coding RNA (246 nucleotides) under Rickettsia monacensis. Lineage: Bacteria; Pseudomonadati; Pseudomonadota; Alphaproteobacteria; Rickettsiales; Rickettsiaceae. The record is from RNAcentral.
UUACAUAUGCAUAUAGUGUUAAUUCUAUAAAAAUGUAGUAUCAACUCACAAAGUUAUCAGGUUAAAUUAGCUUUAUCAAUGAAUAAAAAUGUUGUUGCAUGACCAAUGUCAUACCGUGGUCAAGCCACGGUAUCCAGUAAAAAUUAUUUUGCUGAGUAUCGUAGUAAAAGUUAAGAUAUGAUGUUAAGACUUUUUUUGAGUCGUGCAAUAACAUUAACAGCAAACUAUAAUACAAGUCUAUCUUUU